Long non-coding RNA from Homo sapiens (human), 505 nucleotides. RefSeq lists it as uncharacterized. The record is from RefSeq and is a predicted model, not a curated record. The transcript is spliced from 2 exons. NCBI's taxonomy places the organism in Eukaryota, Metazoa, Chordata, Mammalia, Primates, Hominidae.
GAGAUGCGCGCGAGCCCCUCCGCUCUCUGCCCAGCCUUUCCUUCCAGCCUCGCUCGCGCCCCUGUCUCAAAGGCCUCAUAGGACUCCCAGAGUCUCCUAUAGUCGGGAGCCCCCAGCCCCCUUCCGGACAUGGAGUGAUUGGUGGGGAGGCGGCGGUUGGGAAAAGGGGGUCGGUCAACCGAUUGAUUCCAGUUUCCCCUUCCCAAGUCAGGCUCUCCAAGCUUGUAAAGAGUAGAAGAACCGGACAUUGGUGGAGGAAUUCAAACAAGAGAGCCCGGAGGCGUCCUCUGCUGUGGCCCAGAGCUAGCGCCUACUCCACGAAGCUCAGCUGGGGUUAACAGGCUUCUGUUAAAAUUUCCCGGGCACUGGGAAAAUUUCAGGUGCCUUCGCCUCGGUGGACUCCUUUCCCUGCUAACAAAAUUAUUAAAAAUAAGAUUUUGCAACUGCGUUGGCAUAAGGAAAAGUAUAUUAAUAUUGCAUAUUAAAACAUGUUCUUCAGCCUAAA